GUUUGAUCGUCAAUUAAAACGUUUAUAUACCUACGUAUAAUUAGUUCAGGGGAAUUUUUCGUGUAUUCCAAAUAAUAAUAAUUUUAAACAAGUAUAAUUGUAUUAUUGUACCUAACCUAUAGUAAACCUAAAAAAAAAAAAACUUUUCAAAUGUGCAGUACGUCUCCUACGGCAUAUCAUACAAAUAUUAACGUAAGAAUUAAAUGUGCAUAACGUGUUACUUAAAAAAAAAAAAAAUAAUUCUAGCCGAACAUUACCGUAUAAUAAUUAUGACCAAAAAUAAAUUUAAAAUUACCCCGGACCUUAAGUCUGUACUCUUGUAGUUGUAUAACAUUAUUUUUACAGCCACCGAGAAUCCGAAUAAUAAAAAUAUUUAUAAAUAUUUCAAUGAAAUAAUAGUUACUGAAAUUAAAUGUAAAAAAAUAACAUUUUACAGAUUUUCAAAAAUGUCGUAUACCGAAGUAUACGUACCCCGAAGGGUACGUGCGAUUACGCGUGCGCUGCAUCAUCGAGAGUGAUUAAAUAUUUGCUUGAGUAAAAUAAUAAUAAGACUACGUAUUUUUACCGACUUAAAAGAAUAAUAAAAAAAAAAAAAACGCAUUAAUGCAUAACAAUAUUAUAUUAAUGUAAAUAUUUAAUGAACUAAGAACAAAAAAUAACGCGUCUAAAUAAAUAACAAUUAAAAUUUAAUACUAAUAAUAAUUAAUCACUGGUAUUUGCAAUUUUAAUGGAUUGAUUUCACGAAAAAAAAAAAAAUAAAAUAAAAUAAAGGAAAAAAAAACAGUUUGCAUUUAUUGUGUAAUUAUUAUAUCAGCGUAUCUUCCAACGGAAUAUUAUAAUAAUAUAAAUGAUAUAAAAAUAUUAUUAUUAUUUUUUAUUAUUAUUUUUUUUUUUUACGUAUAACGAUGAUAUUAUUAUUAAAGAUGAUGUCUUUGUUUGGUUAGGUUAGCUAUAUAUUGCGAAUUAAGAUAGUGCGUAUAAACCCAACGAGUUAUUAUUGAACAACAUCGAAUAGGUCCGCACAUUUUUUAAAAAAAAAUGCAUAAAUCGGAUCCACUGUUGUGCAACGUUUUAACUACCUAGAUAAGAUAAAAAAUAACGCGUUCAUAAUUUAUCUGUAUAAGAUAAUAGAUAGAAUAAUAUAAAAUUCAGAUAAAAUACAAGUAAUCACAUUUUUAUCUAGAUAAAAAAAAAAAUAUUAAAUGUUUAAUUUUUAGGUUUUUUAAGACUUUCAAAAAAUGUAAAACCUUUUAAAUAGUAAAAUUGCUCAACUGAUACGUGCGUGUAAAACCACACGGUAAAUGCAUUCCGAGUGUUUAAAUUUUAAUCUUCCUUUCUAUGCCGUAGAAUAUGAUUUAAAAUUAUAUAUUUACAAUUCAUAAUUGCAACAAUAUUUGUAUACCGUGGCGAAUCCAAGAAAAGACAAUCCAUUAGAAACGCUAGUGAGAAUAUGUCUAGAGCACGGUCGUAAAAAAUAAUGUUGGGACACUGGGAAAAAUUAACAAUUGCUAUUUAUUUACAAAUUUAAAACGUUUUAAAUCGUAAAGUUUAAAAAAAAAAAAAUCCGUAAACUGUGGCCUCAACCAAGCUCAGUUUGAGGCACUCCUUGAAAAAAUGUUAAAAAAGUGAACUAAAACUGUCUCUCUAUGUGAUUGCAAAAUCAACACAGAAAUGAUGCCCGGUGUCCGGACAUUAUAUCUUCCAAGACCAUGAAAACCUGGAACGACGACGAUGAGAGCAACGUCCGUUUGGCGAUCACUUUUUCGUAUAGCUCGUUGGGCAUCCAUUUACUAUCUCAAUCCGUUCUAUAUACCCGGUGACGACGAGAUCAAUAAUACCUACGCAUUAUACCAAGGUAUAUGUACAAUAUUUUUGAGAAAAUUCUCUCUGUUAUUUUGUAAACACUUGAUAAUGCCGUAGCCUAUACAUGAUCGGUGUGCGUGUCUGGACUUUGGGUUGAGAAGGCCAAGACUUAUUUUUUGUGAUAAUUUACACGUAGAGCUUAACAUAGUAUUGCGCAAUUUGAUGUUUAUUUUCUUGCAAUAGAGAGACGGUACCUCGAUCACAAAAAUUACGGGACAUAACGAAGAACAGUCGAAGAAAAUAAUAUUUAUGCUAUUUCAAAAAUGGUCAAUCCGUGGCUUAAAGUCUGCGGAAGUCUUAUCAUAAUUCUUUGAAGAAACUGAAUUUGGUCCAGUGGCGCGCGUAGAGGUGGAGUUGGUGGAAGUCAGAACCCCUCCCCCUCCGAAACGUCUUCUUCAUUAAAUUCGAUUGAAUCCAGUUUUACAUUUAGCAGCAUAGUAUCUCACAUAAUAAAAUAAUGAAAUUGAAUUUCAUCAAAAAUCAUAUAUUCGGUAACAAUAGCGAUAGUGAUUUACUGAUAAGAAGUUCUAUCCCCUAUCAAACAAAUUAUUAUAAGCACAACCUCUUCUCGAAAAUAAUGUCCGCAUGCGCUACUGGUUCGGCCGUUUUUGACCUAAUGUCCAGAAUUAUGUAUAUUAUUAAUAAUAUAUUAGACGGAACUACAGGAUAUAAAACUGUCUUUUGAAAUUGAUAAUAUUGACUAAUAUUAUUGAUAUUUUAAUAAUAAUCAAUGUAAAAAUUAAAUACUACAAUAUAAUAUUAUGGUUAUAAUAAUAAUAUAAGGUAUUUCGUUAUUAUUUAUUAUUGUAUUCUAAUCCGUGUAUAAAAAAAUGUCCACGCGUUAAAUUUUGCAGUUUGACGCUUGUAUUAAACGUGACACGGUGUACCAUAAUAUUAUUUUUAUUAUUGUUUCUCUUUUGUGAUCACGUCACGUAAAAAAAAAAAAAAAAAACAAAAAUAAUGUAUUAUUAUAUUCAUAGGGGUAAACAUAAUUACAAAAAACCAAAAAAAAAUAUAUGAAAUUUUUAUUUUCGUCCGCUUUGAUACAAUAAUAAUAAUUAUGUUUACCCGUAAUUAUUAAUAAUAUUGUUUAUCAAAAUAUACAUGGACGGCGAAUAUUAUAUAGUAGAUGGUGGCCUGUGGAACGCGGGGAGGGUUAAGGUGGAAGAAAUUUCAGUGUGCACAGUGGUCGCCGCGUGUAUCUAAAUGGGGAUUUCAAUCGUAAUUGCUUAUUUUGCGAAAACAAAUCGAACGAGAAGUAUUCGUCCGUGAAUAGUUUCUAUAAUUCUAUAGAAAUACGUUUUUUUAUUUGUUUUUAUUUUUUUUAUUAAUUUAGUUUUGAUUUAAGAACCGUUUCCCUGUGUAUUGUACGCGACCUACGUUAGAAUAAUAAACGCGGAAUUCCAAAACUGCCGAUAUUUUCGGCUCUGAAUCCUAUUGUCGAUCGGCUACCUAAAAUUGUAUACGAUCGCUCGUCCGUUUUGUUCGCCGAUAAAUAGGUUUUUGGUCAGGUAACCUACGUAGGUCGAAUCUAGAGUGUUACGCGGCUAAACGGUACUAUAGAAUAAUAUUUCAUGGUCGGCUCGGGGUUUUGGGGUUAUGUCUGACGUGCCCCGGUCCUAUAGGUUUGUUGUCGAGUUGUCCACCUGUGUAUACAAAAAUUUAAAUCUCUCUCUCUCUCUCUCUAUAUGCAUAUAAAUAUAUUAUUAUGAUAAACCGUUAAUAAUUUAUUAUGUUCCUUGUUGGUGUUAAUAAAAUAUUACGUUGUACAGCUAAAAAUUGUAUGUCUAUAAUACACAAUAACAUUAUAUUAUAAUUUAAGUAUAAAAU
RNAcentral lists this long non-coding RNA (3693 nucleotides) under Cinara cedri. The record is from RNAcentral. Lineage: Eukaryota; Metazoa; Arthropoda; Insecta; Hemiptera; Aphididae.